GGGGGGGGGGGGGGGGGGGGGGGGGGGGGGGGGGGGGGGGGGGGGCGGAGGAGGGGGGGGCUGUUGCGGGGGGCGAGGGGCGGACGGGGGGGGAGUACGUGGGAAUCUGCUUUGUCGUGGGGGGUCAGGUGGGGAAACUUACGCUAAUACCGCCUACGGCCUCCGGGUGAAAGCAGGGGAUCUUGGGACCUUGCGCGAUUGAAUGAGCCGAUGUCGGAUUAGCUAGUUGGCGGGGUAAAGGCCCACCAAGGCGACGAUCCGUAGCUGGUCUGAGAGGAUGAUCAGCCACACUGGAACUGAGACACGGUCCAGACUCCUACGGGAGGCAGCAGUGGGGAAUAUUGGACAAUGGGCGCAAGCCUGAUCCAGCCAUACCGCGUGGGUGAAGAAGGCCUUCGGGUUGUAAAGCCCUUUUGUUGGGAAAGAAAAGCAGCAGGUUAAUACCCCGCUGUUCUGACGGUACCCAAAGAAUAAGCACCGGCUAACUUCGUG
RNAcentral lists this ribosomal RNA (492 nucleotides) under uncultured bacterium. RNAcentral's name for it is "partial 16S ribosomal RNA". The stretch from base 53 to 492 matches the Rfam family "Bacterial small subunit ribosomal RNA", at positions 39 to 507 of the family's 1533-position model. The record is from RNAcentral.